CCCUGGAUGUGUGAGGACAACUUUCCCUGUCAGAUUGACCAUGUUGAUCUCACUUUCUCUAAGCCAGUUUGUCUGACAUGCUGAG
Molecule: small nucleolar RNA, 85 nt
Organism: Nannospalax galili (Upper Galilee mountains blind mole rat)
Lineage: Eukaryota; Metazoa; Chordata; Mammalia; Rodentia; Spalacidae
Source: Ensembl